Molecule: non-coding RNA, 1554 nt
Organism: Cinara cedri
Lineage: Eukaryota; Metazoa; Arthropoda; Insecta; Hemiptera; Aphididae
Source: the annotation of a GenBank genome assembly
UGGAAUUUCUUUUUUCACUUUGUUCGUUAGAAUCGUUUUACAUUUAAUUGUAUCUAUUAUAAUUAUAAUAAUAUGCCGUUUUGCGUCAUUCGUCACUUCGAUCCUCACCGAUUUGUCACCUCGACCGCGUGCGACCCAUCGAAAUAUUAAUGGAAUAAUAAUAAAUGCUAAGUGCCAUACAAUUAUAUGGGUUUUUCUCUCUCUCUCUCUCUCUCUGUCUAAAUUCGUUACCUAUUCGUUUAUAAGUCCGAAUGAUGUUUGGUGUAAGUAGUCAAAAGUAGGUAUUUUAUUGUAUGGUUUGAACCGCAUACCGCGCAUUAUAGGAGUAUAAUAAUACAAUAUCGAAUAGGUAUAACAUAAUAAUGCAAUAUUUUGUAAAAUAAUAUAUUUAUGUGUGAAAGAGACGCUUGUCGUGAACUCCACGAUCCUAGAAGAUAAAAUCGACACGCGGCUAUCACCUACGUGUUAAUUAUUUGAACACAAAGCGAGACAGUUUCGGUUCGAUAUUUUAUCGCUUAAUUCGAGGGACAACGGCUUCACAUUUAACUUCCAACCGAACCGCCUAAAAUUAUUUUAAAAAUGUCAAAUAUUUAUAGUUUUUUUUUUUUUUUUGCAUUUUAUGUUCGUAAACAAAUUAUAUUAUAUUAUACCAUUAUUAUUUCUUCGAAUUGAUUAUAAUUAUUAUUAUUUUUGACCUAACCGACAAACGCACAGUGUCGCGUCAUUAGAAAAAAAAUUGUAACAUUGGUAGGUACUAUAAAACCGUCUCUCUAAGCGACAGCAUUUGAUAGCCUUAAUGCAGUGUCCGAUUUUAUUUUCUAAGACUGCGCUCACGAGUCAUAGUUGAUUUUUUUCUCCCGGGUCAUAAACAAUGUAAUAAUAACAAAAACAACCCUCUGAUAGAAGUUAAUAACCGAUAAGAAUAACGUUAAUAAAAUAAUUUUAAAGAACGUUGUCAAUAAUCAAUUAUUAUAAAGGAGUAGGUACUUACCUACCUAUUAUAAAAGUAUGCGUGUAAAAGCAUUCGUUAAAACUUCAUUCGUACGGCCGUCUGAAAAUCGAUGGUCUUUUUUUUGUUUUAACGAAAUUUGUUUAUUAUUAUUUUUUUUUUUUUUAUAGAAAAUCGAUAUAUAUAUUAUUAUUAUUAUUAUUAUUAUUAUUACACAUUGUUUUCAGAGUCAACGACGACGGUUUAUUAUUAUUAAAAUAUAUUGUUCUGUAAUAUAAUUAUUAAUUUUAUAUUAUAUUUUAUAAUAUACAUAAUUAUAUAUAUUAUAUAUAUAUAUAUAUAUAUAUUGAGGAUUUUUACGUACUAUUUAGCAACGAUUUAUUUAUACUGUAAGUUUAAUCAUACACGAUUAUAUUAUUGAAAACGAAAAAAAUACAUAAAAAAAAAAAUAAACUUGUAAAACGCUUAGCGACAAUAUUAUCGACACAAUCGCGUUACACCUUAUUUAUAUACUAUAAUACUUUACAUAUUAUUAUUUGUUUUAAAUUUAAUAACCACUAUAAUUCAUUCGCGCAUAAAUACCGCGGUCAUUAUAUACCUAUAUA